AACGAACGCUGGCGGCAGGCCUAACACAUGCAAGUCGAGCGAGGACUUCGGUCCUAGCGGCGGACGGGUGAGAAACGCGUGGGAACGUGCCCUUUGCUUCGGAAUAGCCCUGGGAAACUGGGAGUAAUACCGGAUGAGCCCUUUGGGGGAAAGAUUUAUCGGCGAAGGAUCGGCCCGCGUUGGAUUAGGUAGUUGGUGGGGUAAUGGCCUACCAAGCCGACGAUCCAUAGCUGGUUUGAGAGGAUGAUCAGCCACACUGGGACUGAGACACGGCCCAGACUCCUACGGGAGGCAGCAGUGGGGAAUCUUAGACAAUGGGGGAAACCCUGAUCUAGCCAUGCCGCGUGAGCGAUGAAGGCCUUAGGGUUGUAAAGCUCUUUCAGCUGGGAAGAUAAUGACGGUACCAGCAGAAGAAGCCCCGGCUAACUCCGU
RNAcentral lists this ribosomal RNA (432 nucleotides) under uncultured bacterium. RNAcentral's name for it is "partial 16S ribosomal RNA". It matches the Rfam family "Bacterial small subunit ribosomal RNA", at positions 29 to 506 of the family's 1533-position model. The record is from RNAcentral.